UGUCUGACUUAUGUGCGUGACUCUAUAGGUUCAAACACUAAGCUGGUAGCACAGGAAUCAAUUCUUACACUAAUCAAAAUAUCAUUUAGCAAUAGUUUUCGACAUCUAGAUAGGUCGAAUUAUCAUAAAAAAAUAUUUUAGAACCCAUACAUAUGGUUACUGCAUAAUUCAUCCUUUUGACCCUGAAUACUCUAGGAUGAUUUCAGGUUAACUAUCAACCGAGAUUGCUUCAUCCACAUUAUAUUUCAACCUUUCAAAUCCAUCUCAUAAAUUAUUCUGGCUA
This 283-nucleotide long non-coding RNA is filed under the name Elaeis guineensis (African oil palm). RNAcentral describes it as "long non-coding RNA (EGUI_LNC068763)". Lineage: Eukaryota; Viridiplantae; Streptophyta; Magnoliopsida; Arecales; Arecaceae. The record is from RNAcentral.